This is an RNA transcript of Mauremys reevesii (Reeves's turtle), 2221 nucleotides long. It is a transcript of the gene named F-box only protein 17-like, with no coding region annotated. The transcript has 6 exons. The record is from RefSeq and is a predicted model, not a curated record. NCBI's taxonomy places the organism in Eukaryota, Metazoa, Chordata, Testudines, Geoemydidae.
CCUGCAGCGGGGCUGGGCGGGGAACCCGGAGCUGGGGCCGUUUCCCGCAGCCUGUUUCAGGCGCCCCCUGGCUUGCAAGGGGCGGGAUCCGGUGCUCGCUUUGCAGCCGUGUAAACGAGGCCGGGACGGGUCCAAGGCGGGGCCGGGAUCACAUGAGCUGAUGCGGUGAGGAGCGGUAGCUGGGCCUGAGCGAGCCAGGCCGCCCCGCGGACAUGGGGCAGGGCGGGAGCCAGCCUCCCCCGGAGGAGAGGGUGCGGCCCAUUCGGGAAACCCUGGACAGGGCGCGGCGGCUGCAGCAUCUCGCUGCUUUCGGGGAAAGGCCGGGGGGGACGCGCCCGUCUCCUCCGGCCCUGAACCGGCUCCCGGACGAGCUGCUGACGCGGAUCCUGAGCUGGGUCCCGGGCCGCGUCCUGCUGACCCGCUGCCGGCCGGUGUGUCGCCGCUGGCGGGACCUCAUCGACGGGCCCACGGUCUGGCGGCUGCAGGGCGAGAGGCGGCCGGGCUUGGGGGCCACCCUGGCGGCCGCCCGCCUCUGCCCCGCGCCGCGGUGGAGCCGGAUCUGCCUCCUGGAGCCUUUCGGGCGCAACCUGCUCCGGAACCCCUGCGGGCAGGAUCAGUUCUCUCACUGGCAGGUGGAGCAUGGGGGCCAUGGCUGGCAGGUGGAAGAGAACCGCUGCCUGGUCGAGGGUGCCCCGGCCCAGACCUGCUUCGUCUCAUCCUUUCGCUGGUGCGUCAAAUCGCAGCUGGUAGAUCUUCUAGAGGAGGGGUUGUGGGAAGAACUGCUGGAUACCUACCAACCGGAAAUCUACAUCUCCGAUUGGUGGGGCGCCCGAGAAGACUGUGGCUGUGAAUACUCCAUCUGUGUCAAGCUCCUGGCUGCUAACAGAAGUACUGUAAUCGCUGAAUUCCAGGCCAACCCCGAUCCCGUACAACAAUGGAAUGACCAGCAAUAUCACCAGGUGUCCCACCGGUUCAGGCAGUACGGCCGCGGAGUGCGGUAUGUGCAUUUCCUCCACCAAGGGAAGGACACUCGUUUCUGGGCAGGAAACUACGGCGCACGGAUCACCAACUCCACUGUCAUGGUGAAGCUCAGCUGAGAGCCAGGAGCGGGUCCCCAUGAAUCUCUCACGUGAGCCGGAAUGAUGAUCUCCAUUUGCCUCCGCGAGCUCCUCUCCUGUCUGAGAACAAAUCAGGGGGAUGCAUCUCCUUGAAAUAAUACACCCCUUUGCCUGAGGAGCUUUUCCAGUCCGUUCUUUCUGGCCAGGCUCGUCCUGCGCAGGACCAAAGAGCACCGUGGCGAAUCUUUAGGUUCCUAGUACCUGACUUCAGUCAGUGUGAACCUGCCCCUGCACAGCAGAAGCAACAAGUCUUUGAGUUUUUUCUGCCAGCUGAUGCCUGUGGUGUUGCCUGUCUGAUGUGUAUCCAAAUUCACAGGCAGGUGAGCAAAAUACCCCUCCCACCUCCCAUGCUACUUAGAUUGCAUGGUUCUGGGGAAGGGGGAUUAGAACCCAGCUCCUGCAAGCUAUGGGUAGUGCAGUGCUCACGAGAAUACCAUACAGGGCAGACCCUAGACAAACAUAAACAGCUGCUUGUUCAUUGUCCAGGAAUUUAUGGGAAACAUAAUCUUCAGGUCUGUUCUCACUGCACUCGGAUCCCAGCAAAGCUGGGCGUAGUAGCCACUCAGACCUUUUGCUGACAUACACCAAGGGUCGGAUUCUGAAGUAACUGACGGGUGUCUAAAUCUGGAAAGACUCCAGUGGAGUGACUCCAGUUUCACACAGGUCUACAUGAGACCAGAAAGGGGGUCUAGCAGUGCUUUGGUGCAGUUCCCUCCCCAUUUUGGGGGGGGGGCGAGGAGUGGACUUUGCCUUACACCCACUUGUACUAACGCAUGAUCACGGGGCAUGGGCAGGGGGUUAUAGGUGGGAGUCGGAGAACCCACUCCCAGCAGGGGUUGAUGGGGAAGACCCUUUUAGGGGACUGGGGAGUAAUUUGAGCCACAUGGUCCAGCGACGGCCUUCAGUGCGUCAGCUGGUCCUGCGUGUAGUCAUCAGGAUGGGUCUCAGCCCUACUACUACAGACAGGCCAGAACUUCCGCUGAUAUUAACCAAUUCCUGCUAUUGAUGUCUUUGCUCGCUUACACCAGCAGGGGAUAUCGUCCUGUUGACUUGGAGGCGUGAUGCUGGGGGAUCUGGUGCUCUGUUACCUCUCUCAAAAAAAA